Long non-coding RNA from Melanotaenia boesemani (Boeseman's rainbowfish), 102 nucleotides. RefSeq lists it as uncharacterized. The transcript is spliced from 3 exons. The record is from RefSeq and is a predicted model, not a curated record. Lineage: Eukaryota; Metazoa; Chordata; Actinopteri; Atheriniformes; Melanotaeniidae.
CUCAGAGAAGGCCAGGGAGGCUGUGGAGAAGUUUGACAUGCUGCAGGCACACAAACACACACUCAGAGUGAAGCGCUAUGACAGAGAAACCACCACACACUG